Long non-coding RNA from Phyllopteryx taeniolatus (common seadragon), 4496 nucleotides. RefSeq lists it as uncharacterized. Lineage: Eukaryota; Metazoa; Chordata; Actinopteri; Syngnathiformes; Syngnathidae. The transcript is spliced from 4 exons. The record is from RefSeq and is a predicted model, not a curated record.
AUCCUACGACACUUCGUAACUCGAUCUUGUUGGAAGAAUCAUCAUUGCUAACACAGUUAAGUCAUAAUUACAUUAAAUAUUGGUAAUAAAAUAAUUCUAGGCUAUAAAUAUACAUUAAAAACGGUUAUAAAAAAAGAACAUUGUGCGAGAGCCCUCUUGCCUAGAGUCAACUAGGAUGUGCUCACACUCACCUGCAAACCUAAUAAUAAAAAAGCGGUAUAGAAAAUUGAUGUAUUUUCAUUAUUAUAAAUUUGACAUGUCUAAUGGGCUGUUCUGCUAUUAACUGGCGACCAGUCCAGGGUGUACCCAACCUCGUCCUCAUUCAAAGUCAACCUGGACAGGCUCUAGCUCCCUCUGUAUAUAGCACUAUAUAACUAUAUAAAUCUACUAUUUAGUACAGUAGCUAAAUAUUUUGAAGGCUGAACACAAUCAAACAAGUAAAUAAAUAAUGUUCUGUUCACCCAUUGUGCGCUAUCCGACGUGCCAGAUCGCCAGGCAGAUGACGGCCCAUGAACGUGUGUUCUUGGCGCCGAGCGGCAGAUCGCCUCCUCCGCGUUCUCAGCGUGCUUGAGAGAUAUGAGAUUAGACAGCUGCAUGUCACACUCAUUGUCCUUCGUUAACAAGUGUAAUUUGUGCCUCAUUCUGUCAUCCGGCUCUUCCACGAGCGCCCAAAUUCAUUCUGGCUCUCCACGGAGGUUGGAAGAAUCAUCACGCUGGCAAGCGUACUCGUACCAUCUGUGAUAAGGAGAGCGGCGCGUCAUCCACUUGAAUAAACACAUUUUUGUCCCCUUUGACGUUGACAUCCGAUGGCGUAGACGACCUCUCUGCCACAACAGACAACACAUGGAAAUGAGCAGGGUUCAAAUGGAAGUGUUCAACAGCUGGUCGAGGCGAUCCAUAAACAGAUGAUGGCGAGCCUGAUUGGAACGCCGAACUGUGCUGCGUGCGGCUAAAGUUUCAACCUUCUGCCGAAGAGUGUAAAUCAUACAGCGCAAGGAUCUUUAUUGAACUCUAAUGGGUGGAGACAGCCUCUGUAUUGGCCGCUAUCACAGGCAGCGAGAGGACCAGAUGAAUAUUGAAGGCGAGAGCCAAAGACGACAUCGGUGAUAGAAGUUGUUUCAAAGCUGACAGGACAAAGCCACUGGAGGGAAAACAGACAACUGACAAGAGUUCGGCCAGCCGAGCGCACCAAAUGCUGAACGCUGGAGUACAACCUGAGCACAAAUCGAUCAUAAGUUAGACUUGGCAAACUUCUUCAAGAGCACAGUUGCUAAUAGUCCCCCAUUUAAAUCUUUGAAAUUACGAGAGACUAAUUAAUACUCGGCAGCACUGUGAAAUAGCGGUUAGUGCCCAGUGCGGUUCAAUUGACUUGCAACCAGUCCAGGAUUUACCUCCUCAUUGGCCCUCAAACUCAGCUCCGUGUAACCAUGAACCUAGGACAAAUGGUAUAGAAAAUAGAUGGAUGGAAAAUAAUAUGAACUCAACUCAACGCUUCAGAAAAAAAAAAAAAAUCAAACUUGAGAAAACGCAGAUGACUAUAGUGCUUGCAGUUCCGGACUGAGACGUGUGUACCACCAUCCUACGUCACAAUCUGGUUCGAUGGUGAUCAUCACAACUUUCCCACGUUUGAUAUGACAUACAUGAUAACAGACGCUACUCCAGGCUUUUGUGCGACUCUACACAUCACAAGGUCACAUCUUAGACCUGGUCAUCUCUAAGGAUGUUGAAAUUCUAUCAAUUGACAUUAAGGAUAUGGCUAUUUCUGACCAUUACAGAGUCUUCCUAAAGUUCAGACAACCUCUAUGUCUAUUUAGAAAAGGUACAUAAAUGAGAGCACCGCCACUAAGUUUAUGGAGACCAUUGCUGUGCCACAAUCUGUGAAUGCUGAGACAGUUGAUGAACUUUUGGAUAAUUUCACCUGUAAAAUCUCAAAUGUCAUGAAUGCUGUCGUUCCUAUUAAAACUAAGACAAUCUUGAGGCGACCUAGAACACUGUGGAGGAGCACAAUGAUGGUAAAGACCUCGAAAUCAAAGUGUAGGAAAGCAGAACGUAAGUGGAGAAAAACUAAACUCCAAAUUGACUAUGACCUCUACAGACAGAGUCAGGGCUAGACAGCAACACUUUUCUGAAAUCAUCAGGAAAAACUCUAUUAACAUGUCAGAAUUUGAUACAAUUGACCAAAAAACUGUAGAGAAAACGGUUCAGCAGCUGAAACCAUCAAUGAGCUGUCUUGACUCAAUGCCAUCUGACUCUUCAAAGCUAUUGCGAAGUCUGUGCUAGCUGAUUUGCAGCAAAUAAUCAAUUGCUCACUGCAGUCAGGCAAGUUUCCUAAAGCUCUUAAAGUAGCUGCCAUUAAGCCUCUGCUAAAAAAUAGAAGAAGAAGAAGAAGAAGAAUGCUGGACGCUUCCAUGUUAGCAAGCUAUAGACCCAUCUCAAAUCUCCCUUUCAUAGCCAAGAUUUUCGAGAAAGUUAUUUCAACUCAGCAAUUUCUUGAACUUAAAUGGACUUUUUGACAAAUUUCAAUCAGCUUUACGAACUCAUCACAGUACAGAAUCUGCUCUUAUCAAAGUGCUAAAUGAUAUAAGGUUAAAUACUGACUCGGGACAGGUGUCAAUUCUGGUCCUGUUGGACCUCAGUGCUUUUGAUACGGUAGAUCAUAACAUACUGCUGAACAGGUUGGAAACGUGGGUAGGACUAAAUGAAACAGUCCUGAAAUGGUUCAGGUCCUACCUGGAGGAAAGGAGUUAUUUUGUAACCAUUGGAAGUGUUCAAUCUCAUCGAAUGGCAAUGACCUAUGGGGUCCCUCAAGGGUCAGUUCUUGGACCCCUCCUGUUCACCCUGUAUAUGCUACCCUUGGGUCAAAUUCUUCAGAACUUGAAUUUUGACUAUCAUAGGUUUGCAGAUGACACACAGUUAUAUCCAGCAGUGUCUCCAGAUGACUACAGUUCAAUUGAACUUCUUAUAUGAAGAGCAGAAUGCCGCCACCGUAUGCCGGUCCAGGUGGACUUGGUAUCCAAGCAACUGUAUCAAAGCAGCGGUGGCAUUGGCAAUUGAAUCCAGAGGACUUUACAAUGUAGGAACAAUGCAGCUGUCAUUCGGCAGCAGCUAAGAUCACCUGCUCGGACUCUCCCUCCAGCACGUCCGCAGGGAGCUCAUUCCGAUCAGAACUUUCCUCGGAAAGACCCAACGUGUGUCUACCGACACCAGCGGAACAUUUGUCAGCAAAUUCGAUACUGAUCAAGUAAAACCAGGAGAACUGAACAUUGGAAAAGGUUUAGAUUUGUUUAUUGUAACUAACUAAAUGCAUUAAUUAAAUUUAAAAUCCUCAUACAAGUUAUCAAAAUAACCACUACACCAAGAAAAAUUGCAUAAUCAAUGAACGGCUCCCGUCAAGGACAGUUAUUAAAUAAAAAGCCCCCCCAAAAUUCCUACCAGAAAUAUGAUAGUCUUUUGAUUUUAUAUUUUAUUUAUUUAGUUAUUUGCUUUUUCAGAUUAACCAUUAAAACAGAUUAAAUUGACACACAGUUAUAUCCAGCAGUGUCUCCAGAUGACUACAGUUCAAUGGAAGUGUUGUGUCACUAUCUAAAACAGAUAAAUAUCUGGAUGAGCCAAAAUGUUCUUCAAUUAAACCACAACAAAACUGAGAUAAUUGUUUUUGGCAAUAAAGAAAAGAGUCGCUCUCUUUAAAACCAAAGACCAAGUCCGAAACCUUGGUGUUCUGAUAGAUUCUGAACUGACCUGCAACAGUCAUAUCAAAUCAAUGACUAAAACUGCCUUCUACCAUCUGAAGAACAUAUCCAGAGUGAAGGCUUGCAAGUGCCAAGCAGGCCAGGAGAAGCUCAUCCGUGCUUUUAUCUCAACUAGACUUGACUAUUGUAAUGGUCUUCUGACCAGACUCCCCAGAAAGAGCAUUAAACAGCUGCAGCUCAUUCAGAAUGCUGCAGCUCGGGUUCUGACCAGAAUAAAGAGGUCAGAGCAUAAUACUCCAAUUCUAAAGUCUUUACUCUGGCUUCCAAUCAGCUUUAGAAUAGAUUUUAAAGUUCUGCUACUAGUCUACAACUCACUAAAUGGUUUAGGUCCUGAACACAUGAAUGAAACGCUAAUGGAAUAUAAACCCAGUACGACUCUCAGAUCGACAGACUCAGGUCAAAUAGUGGAGCACAGAGUCCAAAGCAAACAUGGUGGAGCAGCAUUUAGCUAUUAUGCUGCACACAAAUGGAAUAAGUUGCCAACAGAAGUGACAUCAGUCCCAAGUGUGCAUGUUUGUAAGUCCAGGUUAAAAACUCUUUUUUUCCCCCAUGCUUUUUAGAGCAUUUUCACUUUUAAAAUUAUAUUUCUUGCACUGUACCCUGUUUUAAUUGUAUUUUUUUCUCUUUGUUUUCAAAGUUUAUAACCUGUUUUUUUCUUUGUUUUUUAAUGCUUUUACUCAUGUAAAGCACAUUGAGUUAUCUUGUGUAUGAAAUGCGCUAUAUAAAUAAAUUUGCUUUGCUUUCCUU